This 387-nucleotide unclassified non-coding RNA is filed under the name soil metagenome. Its description in RNAcentral is "partial contains 5.8S ribosomal RNA, internal transcribed spacer 2, and large subunit ribosomal RNA". The stretch from base 1 to 122 matches the Rfam family "5.8S ribosomal RNA", at positions 35 to 154 of the family's 154-position model. The record is from RNAcentral.
GAUGAAGAACGUAGCGAAAUGCGAUAAGUAAUGUGAAUUGCAGAAUUCAGUGAAUCAUCGAAUCUUUGAACGCACCUUGCACCCUUUGGACUGCCCCAAAGGGUAUGCUCGUUUGAGUGUCAUUGUACUCUCACACUCUCUGAUCCUUUGGAUUUGGGGAGCAGUGGACUUGGGUGCUUGCUGCUUCCUUGUGGCUCACCUGAAAUGCAUCAGUGCAUCUCUCGAUUGGACAUAGUACGGCGUGAUAAGUGUCUUCGCCGGCACCUCAUAUGAGGGUGGCCGAUCGGGAGCUCUGUGCUUUCAAACCGUCUUCGGACAACGCUGACAACUUGACCUCAAAUCGAGUAGGACUACCCGCUGAACUUAAGCAUAUCAAUAAGCGGAGGA